AUACGUAGGGGGCGAGCGUUGUCCGGAAUGAUUGGGCGUAAAGGGCGCGUAGGCGGCCCGGUAAGUCUGGAGUGAAAGUCCUGCUUUUAAGGUGGGAAUUGCUUUGGAUACUGUCGGGCUUGAGUGCAGGAGAGGUAAGUGGAAUUCCCAGUGUAGCGGUGAAAUGCGUAGAGAUUGGGAGGAACACCAGUGGCGAAGGCGACUUACUGGACUGUAACUGAAGCUGAGGCGCGAAAGUGUGGGGAGCAAACAGGAUUAGAUACCCUGGUAGUCCACACUGUAAACGAUGAAUGCUAGGUGUAGGGGGUAUCGACCCCUUCUGUGCCGCAGUUAACACAAUAAGCAUUCCGCCUGGGGAGUACGGCCGCAAGGUUGAAACUCAAAUGAAUUGACGGGG
This 397-nucleotide ribosomal RNA is filed under the name uncultured bacterium. RNAcentral describes it as "partial 16S ribosomal RNA". It matches the Rfam family "Bacterial small subunit ribosomal RNA", at positions 523 to 918 of the family's 1533-position model. The record is from RNAcentral.